This 645-nucleotide ribosomal RNA is filed under the name uncultured delta proteobacterium. Its description in RNAcentral is "bacterial SSU rRNA". It matches the Rfam family "Bacterial small subunit ribosomal RNA", at positions 9 to 626 of the family's 1533-position model. Lineage: Bacteria; Deltaproteobacteria. The record is from RNAcentral.
GAGUUUGAUCCUGGCUCAGAAUGAACGCUGGCGGCGUGCUUAACACAUGCAAGUCGCACGAGAACGCUUCAGCUUGCUGGAGCUAGUAAAGUGGCGCACGGGUGAGUAACGCGUGGGUAAUCUACCUCCGAAUUGGGGAUAACACUGCGAAAGUGGUGCUAAUACCGAAUGACAUCUCAGGGACCUCGGUCUCUAAGAUCAAAGGUGGCCUCUACAUGUAAGCUACUGUUUGGAGAUGAGCCCGCGUACCAUUAGCUAGUUGGUAGGGUAAUGGCCUACCAAGGCUGCGAUGGUUAGCUGGUCUGAGAGGAUGAUCAGCCACACUGGAACUGACACACGGUCCAGACUCCUACGGGAGGCAGCAGUGAGGAAUUUUGCGCAAUGGGGGAAACCCUGACGCAGCAACGCCGCGUGAGUGAUGAAGGCUUUCGGGUCGUAAAGCUCUGUCAAGUGGGAAGAAUAUGCCCUGUGAUAAUACCAUGGGGCACUGACGGUACCACUGAAGGAAGCACCGGCUAACUCCGUGCCAGCAGCCGCGGUAAUACGGGGGGUGCAAGCGUUAUUCGGAAUCAUUGGGCGUAAAGGGCGCGUAGGCGGCCCCUUAAGUCAGAUGUGAAAGCCCUCAGCUUAACUGAGGAAGUGCAU